UGAGUUAGCAAGCGAGUCGCUAAAAGAGGAAGAGAGCUGUGAGUGUUUAGACUAAACAAGGAAGAGCCGUCAGAGGCAAGGAUUAAGUGUCUUGCCCGGCAUGUGGACUCUGGGAAGUGGGGGUCGAAUUACCGAGUGGACAACCAUCUCUACCUCCUGAGCCACAGCUACCUACGCCACAGCUAACUACUUAUUAAGAAGCAAAGUUUGAGGGCUCUGUUCCCCUGGGAGUACACUGACCCCUGUCACUAUGCUCAUAGGCAAAAGCAGGAAGCAUGGCUGCUGUCAGGCUGAUUAACACACACUGGCAUUGUGCACAUGCAGGUUUCCAGAAGGAUGAGAUCACCAAGAAAGCAACAAGGCUAUCAAAUGGUCCUCAAGCAUGCUGUGUUGACACCUUAUACUUGAUGAAGAAUAAAUAACACAGCUUUAAUGUUCGCCUGACUUCAGGGGUUGUGUGCGUGUGUGUGUGUGUGUGUUACGAUAAGAUGGCCUCAUGGAUAGAAACCCUGUAACCUUAAAGGAGGAGUAAGAGAGUCUGUAGAAACACAGUUGAUGUUUGAACUCCACACACAAAAACUAGUUGUUUAGAUUGACAGCAGAGAGGACCAUAGGUGUGUAGCUAAGCCAACAAGGAAGCAAAAUUGACCUAGCAGAGCAUUUCAAAUUAUGCAUCAAUCCAAAUAAAUCCACUAGCAAACUCAACUCUUCUUGGCUAUAAAAUCCUUU
Molecule: long non-coding RNA, 729 nt
Organism: Scophthalmus maximus (turbot)
Lineage: Eukaryota; Metazoa; Chordata; Actinopteri; Pleuronectiformes; Scophthalmidae
Exons: 4
Source: RefSeq, a predicted model, not a curated record